This 3810-nucleotide long non-coding RNA is filed under the name Gadus morhua (Atlantic cod). RNAcentral's name for it is "lncRNA (ENSGMOG00000033080.1)". The stretch from base 60 to 106 matches the Rfam family "Histone 3' UTR stem-loop". Lineage: Eukaryota; Metazoa; Chordata; Actinopteri; Gadiformes; Gadidae. The record is from RNAcentral.
AUGAGAACUUCAACACGGAUCUCCCAAGCCGGUGGCAGCGGCUCGGGCGAGGCCGCGGACAAACGGCCCUUUUCAGGGCCACCUGAGAGCGCUCCUAGAGCUAGGUCCUUUUCAGGACUCCUAUGCGCCUCCUGUCCCGCCUCCCUGGCACCGGGUGACGGGCACUUGGCGUGCUUUUGGUGCCUCGGCGCCGGCCACGCCGCGGCUGCUAUGGCGGCCCCCGUCUCCUGUGUCGCCUGCCGGGAGCUGCCUGAAGAGGGGAUCCUCUCCAGGCAUCUCUUCUUUUCCCCUGCGGUGGAAAUGGCUGACGCCAUCGACCUAUUCGGACCUGACGUCGACGAUGGCAUCAUCGACGCCUCCCUGGACGACGUCUUCGGCGACUCGGCGUCCGGUUUUUCCCGCUCUCGGGUUACAACCGCCACCGUCAUACAACACGAGGGUCCGCGCCGGAUGACCGAUCUCUUCCGGGAGAUCAUGGGUGAGGCGGCGGCCAUCAAAGGGAUUCCCAUGCCGGCCCCGCCUCUCGCCCCCGUAUCUGACGAUAUGCAGGGCGAGUGCUUUCGCACCCCAUCUUUUUCCCGGCGGGUUACCCAGUGCCCCUUGUUCCCGCCUUUGCAGCACUUGUUUAUUGCUGCCGGUGAGGACCCUUCGACCCUGAAGGCUCCGGUAAGAUCCUACACGGAUUUCACCAACGUGGAGGGGUGGGCCGAUACUCAGGCGAGGGGGAUCCCUCGUCUGGAGCCUCCCCUUGCAGCGCUUCUCUGUCCGGGCGCCGGAUGGCUCCUUAACGAAAAGCCGCUGCCCCCCGACCGCCUCCAGAAGCAGAUUGUCGGCCUAACGGACAGGGUGUUCGUUUGUGCCUCUCAAUCCGCGGCGGCGGUCAACAACAUCGCCCUGCUCUCCUCUGCCAUGGUCUCCUUGUCGGCUGACAGGGAGGCCUACGGCCCGGAGGAAGCCGCGAGAUGGCUGGCGGUUUCCCGCUUUUCCAGCGCCAUCCUCCAGUUAUGCCAGCCGAUAGCCGUUUCGGCCGGCCAGCAUAUGGCGUGGGCUACCAUGAUUCAAAGGGUCAUAUGGCUCUCCCACACUGCGGUGCCGGAACGAGAGCGGGCCAGCCUCGUCCAGGGUCCACUAGCGCCGGAUGGCCUAUUUGGUCCCAGGUUCUCCGAGGUGCUCGCGCACCAGCAGUCAGUCCGUGAGGAUCGUUCCCGGUUCGGGACGAUUCUCACGGGCUCCUCCCGCCAGCAGGCUGAGAGGAAGCGGGGUCUAGGCCGGUCCCAGCGUUCCAUGGGGCCGCCUCCGACUCCAGCCCCGGUGCAGCAGCCGCAGCCGCCGCGCACGGGGAGAGCAGCAGCGCCACGGACCGGGAAGUUCCGGACGCUUGCUCCUACUUUUUCUUACCCUAUUAAAGAAAAGAGUAAAGACCGUUCGGCCGAACGGCAGUACAUGGUACCUAAAGAGCGAUAUUCCCCAGGCCACCUGCGUCCUACGCUUGUGGUGCGCUCCUCCAUGUUGCCUCUUUCCCCCUCUCAGCCCGGUGGCUGUAGGGUGGCGGUCGGACGGCGUGUUCACAUGGCCUCUGGUUCACCUGCUUCUAAGAAGCGGCGUCCCUUGGAGCCUCGUGGACGGAUCAGAGACUCGUUGCACGGUCUCCUGGUUCCCCACAUUAUAGGUGAGGAGAUGGGUCCGCGCGCUGUGGCUACAGCCUGCGGACAGCGCAUGCGCACAGGUGCUGCGGCCGGACGGCUCGCUCCCUGUUCAGCGGGCACGAGCGCGACGUCUAGACAGCUCGUUGUUUUUACAACUGCUAGUUGUGGUACGUCUCCUACGCUCGCUGAGCCUCCUCCCUUUCGUGGGAAGCCCCCCUUGGUUCACACGCAGUUUGAAGGCGGCAGGGGCAGAGGAAUACGGGUUAUUCCUGGACGGUUUUCCUCAGCUGUCGGCUCGCCCUCUCUCCAACCGCUAUGCGUUUUGGCAAGAGCGGUGCGUUCUGCCAUCGUGGUUGGACUCCACGUUGAGAUGGGGCCAUCCCAUACAGUUCAAGCGUCGUCCCCCACCCUUUAUGGGGUUGGUGGAGACCACGCUACGGGACCCGGCUGCGAGCACGGCUCUGGCAGCAGAGGUGGCACGUCUCUUGGUAAAGGGGGCCAUCACUGUCGUUCCCCCCCACGAGUCUCACCUAGGUUUUUAUUCCCGCUACUUCCUGGUUUCCAAGAAGUCAGGGGAAAUGAGACCUAUUCUGGAUCUUCGCGUGUUCAACAGAUUCGUUGCCACGAGGAAGUUCAGAAUGCUCACGGUCGGAGCAUUGUUCCGGUGUGUGAGAGAGGACGAUUGCUUCACAUCCCUGGAUCUCAAGGAUGCUUACUUCCACGUCCCUGUUCGGCAGGCGCACAGGAAGUUUCUCCGCUUUGCCUUUAUGGGGAUGGCGUACGAGUACCAGUGUCUGCCGUUUGGCUAUUCCCUGGCUCCGCGCACCUUCUCGAAGUGUGUGGAGACGGCGUUGGAACCGCUCAGACGUCAGGGAAAGAGGAUUCUCUUCUACCUAGACGAUCUGCUUAUUCUGAGCAACUCAGAAGAGACGCGAGAAGGGACACCAUGUUGGUGAUAAACCAUCUCUCCUUCCUGGGUUUUGCCAUCAACUGGGAGAAGAGCUCCCCGCUCCCCAGCCGGCAGACAGUCUACUUGGGGCUUUGCCUAGACUCAGCCACCAUGACUGCGAUGCUUUCGCCUCCUCGGCGAGACGCCAUCCUGUCGGCGCUCUCCCGUUUUCACGUUCGCAGAAACGUGACCGCACUGUCCACCAUGCGCCUGUUGGGGCUGAUGGCAGCUGCCCACCCCGUGGUCCCCCUGGGUCUGCUUUUUAUGCGCAGACUCCAGCGGUGGUUUGCUCGCCAACGGUUGGACCCCAGGCGACACAAGCUCAGGGUGCUCCUCGUCCCCCGUUCGGUGUCGCCAGACCUGGAAUAUUGGAAAGGACCCUCCGCCCUUCUCAAGGGUGUUCCACUGGGCAGGGUGGCGUCCUACGUAGUGGUCUUCACGGACGCCUCGUUGACGGGUUGGGGAGGAACGUGCCUCUCUCACUCGGUCGGAGACGGGUGGCGCACGCCCCCUACAGCACACAUAAAUGUGUUGGAGCUCGACGCUGUGAGGAAAGUGCUGUUGCAUUUCUUUCACCUGGUGUGCGGCCGCCACGUUCUGAUCAGGACAGACAGCGUGUCGGCGGCGGCGUACAUCAACAGACAGGGGGGAGUCCGCUCCCCUGCUCUCCACCGAAAGGCGGUCGAGCUCUGGCUUUGGGCUCAUCAGUAUCUCCGCAGUCUGAGAGCCCUGCAUAUCGCGGGCGCCCAGAACUUUGGGGCGGACCUCAUGUCUCGAGGCGGUCCCCGCCGAGACGAGUGGCGGUUACAUCCCGACAUUGUCAGACUGAUCUGGCAGAGGUUCGGGACAGCGCAGGUUGACCUCUUCGCGUCCCGGGAGAACACGCACUGCAGGUGGUGGUUCUCCCUCAGCCCUCGGGAUCUUCCCCCGUUGGGGGUAGAUGCGUUGGCACACACACCUUGGCCGCGGGCUCUCUUGUAUGCGUUUCCCCCGCUCCAGCUGAUCCUUCCUCUUCUGGAACGGGUCAGACAGGAGAGACUGUCCCUGAUAUUAGUGGCCCCGGAGAACCGUUCAGCUCUGUGGUUUCCAGAGCUUGCCGCGCUCUCGCGGUCGGCGCCUUGGCCAGUAGCAUUCAGGCCGGAUGCGCUUCACAGGCCCACGGGACGGUGCACCACCCGCCCGAUGUCUCGGGACGGCUGUUGGUUUGGCUCCUGA